RNAcentral lists this ribosomal RNA (1175 nucleotides) under uncultured bacterium. Its description in RNAcentral is "bacterial SSU rRNA". It matches the Rfam family "Bacterial small subunit ribosomal RNA", at positions 39 to 1179 of the family's 1533-position model. The record is from RNAcentral.
GCGGCGUGCCUAAUACAUGCAAGUCGAACGCACUGACGUCGACAGAAGGUGCUUGCACUGGAAGUUGAUUGACGUGAGUGGCGGACGGGUGAGUAACACGUGGGUAACCUGCCCUUAAGCGGGGGAUAACAUUUGGAAACAGAUGCUAAUACCGCAUAAAAGUUGAGAUCACAUGGUCUUAAUUUGAAAGACGGCCUUUGGCUGUCACUUAAGGAUGGACCCGCGGCGUAUUAGCUAGUUGGUGAGAUAAUAGCCCACCAAGGCGAUGAUACGUAGCCGACCUGAGAGGGUAAUCGGCCACAUUGGGACUGAGACACGGCCCAAACUCCUACGGGAGGCAGCAGUAGGGAAUCUUCCACAAUGGACGAAAGUCUGAUGGAGCAACGCCGCGUGAGUGAAGAAGGUUUUCGGAUCGUAAAACUCUGUUGUUGGAGAAGAACAGGGACUAGAGUAACUGUUAGUCCUUUGACGGUAUCCAACCAGAAAGCCACGGCUAACUACGUGCCAGCAGCCGCGGUAAUACGUAGGUGGCAAGCGUUGUCCGGAUUUAUUGGGCGUAAAGCGAGCGCAGGCGGUUUCUUAAGUCUGAUGUGAAAGCCUUCGGCUUAACCGAAGAAGUGCAUCAGAUACUGGGAAACUUGAGUGCAGAAGAGGGAAGUGGAACUCCAUGUGUAGCGGUGAAAUGCGUAGAUAUAUGGAAGAACACCAGUGGCGAAGGCGGCUUUCUGGUCUGUAACUGACGCUGAGGCUCGAAAGUAUGGGGAGCGAACAGGAUUAGAUACCCUGGUAGUCCAUACCGUAAACGAUGAAUGCUAAGUGUUGGAGGGUUUCCGCCCUUCAGUGCUGCAGCUAACGCAUUAAGCAUUCCGCCUGGGGAGUACGACCGCAAGGUUGAAACUCAAAGGAAUUGACGGGGGCCCGCACAAGCGGUGGAGCAUGUGGUUUAAUUCGAAGCUACGCGAAGAACCUUACCAGGUCUUGACAUCUAGCGCCAAUCCUAGAGAUAGGACGUUCCCUUCGGGGACGCUAAGACAGGUGGUGCAUGGUUGUCGUCAGCUCGUGUCGUGAGAUGUUGGGUUAAGUCCCGCAACGAGCGCAACCCUUAUGAUUAGUUGCCAGCAUUUAGUUGGGCACUCUAAUCAGACUGCCGGUGACAAACCGGAGGAAGGUGGGGA